This 394-nucleotide ribosomal RNA is filed under the name uncultured Gammaproteobacteria bacterium. RNAcentral describes it as "bacterial SSU rRNA". It matches the Rfam family "Bacterial small subunit ribosomal RNA", at positions 370 to 779 of the family's 1533-position model. The record is from RNAcentral. Lineage: Bacteria; Pseudomonadati; Pseudomonadota; Gammaproteobacteria.
AAUGGGCGAAAGCCUGACGGAGCAACGCCGCGUGAGGGAUGAAGGCCUCUGGGCUGUAAACCUCUUUUAUCAAGGAAGAAGAUCUGACGGUACUUGAUGAAUAAACCACGGCUAAUUCCGUGCCAGCAGCCGCGGUAAUACGGGAGUGGCAAGCGUUAUCCGGAAUUAUUGGGCGUAAAGCGUCCGCAGGCGGCCCUUCAAGUCUGCUGUUAAAAAGUGGAGCUUAACUCCAUCAUGGCAGUGGAAACUGUUGGGCUUGAGUGUGGUAGGGGCAGAGGGAAUUCCCGGUGUAGCGGUGAAAUGCGUAGAUAUCGGGAAGAACACCAGUGGCGAAGGCGCUCUGCUGGGCCAUCACUGACGCUCAUGGACGAAAGCCAGGGGAGCGAAAGGGAUU